This 6265-nucleotide long non-coding RNA is filed under the name Malus domestica (apple). Its description in RNAcentral is "long non-coding RNA (MDOM_LNC008136)". The record is from RNAcentral. Lineage: Eukaryota; Viridiplantae; Streptophyta; Magnoliopsida; Rosales; Rosaceae.
UCCAAACUACAAUGAGCAGAAGUGUGGGAAUCAAAGAACAAGGUUUUAUGGAUGACAAGGAUUAAAGGCUGUCCAAUUUUCUACAAUUCUUUGGUCACCUAAGAAUCAAAUACCUUUUUUCUCUGAAAUCUGUAUGUAAAGAUGCCAUUUUUUCAUGUAGUUGAGUCAAAUUCAGAUUUCAACUAGACAUCAAACUAGAGAUGAUAAUAUACAUGUCCAAAAUUAAACAAUCUGUAUUAGGGAGAAUGACAAAUCAUCCAAUAUAGUUAGUGAAAAAUAGUUUGUUAAAGCUAAGUGUAGUUAGUUUUAUUAGUACCUGUAAUUAGUUAAGGUAGUUGAGGGUAUUAUUGUAACUAGCCUAAGGUAGCUAAGGCUAUAUAUAUUCACAUCUGUGUAACUGAAUUAUUCAUUCAAUACAAUUGUAAAUCUUACAGAGGAAGUUUUCUCUUUCUAUAUGGUAUCUCGCCAUUCUGCUUCACAGCACCGACCGUCGCUUCCAUUCGUCAACUCGAUCGAUUUCUGAUCGUUUUCGCCUUAUUCUCUCUGAUUCUUUGAUUUUUGUCUUCGAUCUUUCUUGAAUCUUGAUCGUUGCAAGAUAUGGCUGCUCAAUCUGCAUCGCCAACGACUGGGUCGUCUUCUCCGAUCAUCUCUCCUUCGGUUCAAAACCCUAAUUCCUCUUCUAAUCCCAGUCCUCUGAAUUCGUAUACCUCUCUUACGAUUCACAACAUCGGUAGUAUGGUGCCGAUCAAGCUGAAAAGGUCCAAUUAUCUGCCAUGGCGCACUCUGUUUGCUCCCAUUUUCCGGCAAUACAAACUCCUUGGGAUUAUUAAUGGCACUGAGAUCUGUCCUUCGCCAUACUUGCCUGGUCGAUCGAUGAACCCUGCCUUCAAGGAUUGGUAUGAAAAAGAUCAAAAUCUUUUGAUCUGGCUUAAUUCUACUCUAUCCGAAGAGAUCAUUCCUUUCAUAGUUGGGGUUUCCUCUUCUCGUGAGCUCUGGAUGAAACUUGAACAGCAUUUUGGUGGAAUUUCGAAGGCUCAUCUCUCCUUCGGUUCAAAACCCUAAUUCCUCUUCUAAUCCCAGUCCUCUGAAUUCGUAUACCUCUCUUACGAUUCACAACAUCGGUAGUAUGGUGCCGAUCAAGCUGAAAAGGUCCAAUUAUCUGCCAUGGCGCACUCUGUUUGCUCCCAUUUUCCGGCAAUACAAACUCCUUGGGAUUAUUAAUGGCACUGAGAUCUGUCCUUCGCCAUACUUGCCUGGUCGAUCGAUGAACCCUGCCUUCAAGGAUUGGUAUGAAAAAGAUCAAAAUCUUUUGAUCUGGCUUAAUUCUACUCUAUCCGAAGAGAUCAUUCCUUUCAUAGUUGGGGUUUCCUCUUCUCGUGAGCUCUGGAUGAAUCUUGAACAGCAUUUUGGUGGAAUUUCGAAGGCUCAUGUUCACCAAUUGCGAUCGAGGCUUCAAUCAAUUCAGAAAGGUUCUCAAUCUAUCUCUGAAUAUCUUCAACAAAUCAAGGAAAUUGCUGAUUCCUUGCAAGCUAUUGGUGCUUCAGUGUCUGAUCGUGACCUAAUUGCUGCCACCCUACAUGGAUUGCCUGAUGAAUUCGAAUCCUUCAUUGAUUCCAUCAUGCUCCGGUUAUCUUCUACCUCUCUUGAUGAACUACAUGGCCUCUUACUCACCAAAGAGUUGUCUAUGGCUCGUCGCAAGACUAUUUCUUCAUCCUCUGCAACUGAGCCGUUUCAAGCUUUCUCCGUGCAAUCUCAGCCUCCUCUGCUACCUACUCCAUCUGCCUUUGUUGCUUAGAAGUUAGAACCAACCUCUUCACUCUGCUUCUCGGUUUAACUCAAGUCGGGGUAAGCCAUCUCGAGGUAAUUUCUCCUCCAAUCGCAGUAAUCGCAGCUUCCAUAAUAAUCAUGGUACUUUCAUCAACAAUCGUGGAAAUCGGAAUUAUCAAGGCUCUUGCAAUUAUCAAAGUUCUUCUACUUUCAAAGUUCCUUGUCAGAUUUGUGGUUCAACCAGUCAUGAGGCCAUUGACUGCUUUGAUCGUAUGAAUCCGGACAUUUGUGGUCGCAUUCCUCCGGCUAAACUUGCUGCUAUGUGAGUGCAUCAUUCAGCCAAAUCCUCUCAGCCAUGGUUAAUUGAUUCUGGCGCAACCUCUCACAUCACUAAUGAUGUAGCCAAUAUCUCUUCUCCUACUCCCUACACUGGAGAGGACAAAGUGUAUAUUGGAGAUGGUAAAGGCUUAUCUAUUCAUAAUAUUGGUCCAUCAUCUCUGCACACUUCUCAUACCUCUUUUAAGCUGAGCAAUGUUUUACAUGUUCCCUUCAUGAAACAUAAUCUCUUGUCUGCUUAUCAAUUUCUUAAGGAUAACUGUUCAUUGUCUCUUGACCCCUAUGGAUCCAUUGUCAAGGAUCGCAUUUCGGGGAAGAUGCUUUUGCAAGGACCUGUUAAAGAUGGUUUCUAUCCUUUACAAGGUUCUAUCAGCUCUUCUCCUUCUCCACCUUCAGCUUUUCUCAGCAUCAAAGCACCUGUCACAGUACGGCACAAGCGCUUAGGACAUCCUUCCUCCUCAAUUUUCAGAAGGGUCUUAUCUACCAAUAAUCUUGCAUUGCAAGGCAAGCAAACUGUUGAUUUUUUCUGCUCAGAUUGUACACUUGCUAAGAACCACAAGCAUCCUUUUGGAGUGGCUUCUUCAUCAACAACUCAAAGUCUUCAACUUCUGCAUUGUGACCUAUGGGGAACUGCCUCUGUCAAAUCUAAUAGUGGUUUCAAAUAUUACUUGCUUCUUGUUGAUGACUUUAGCAAAUAUAGUUGGUUUUUCCCAUUGAAGUCCAAGUCCGAUGUAUUUCCUACCUUUGUUACUUUCAAAAACUAUGUAGAAAACUUCAGUGGCAAUAAAAUCAAGAUUCUGCAUUCAGAUUCAGGGGGUGAAUUCACUAAUAACUCUCUUGCUUCAUUUCUUCGUGAACAUGGUAUAUUACAUCAGUUUAGUUGUCCUCAUACUCUUGAACAAAAUGGCUGUGCAGAGAGAAAACAUAGACAUCUUGUUGAGAUAGCUAGAACAUUACUUGUUGCCUCUCAUGUUCCUCAUAUUUUUUGGGUUGAAGCAUUCUCCACUGCUCUAUAUCUUAUUAAUAGACUUCCUAUUUCUGGAUUAACAAAGUCAUCGUUGGAACUUCUCUUCAACCAUCAUCCAGAUUACUCAAAACUGAAAGUAUUUGGCUGUCAAUGUUAUUUGUGGCUUAAACCGUACAUUCCCUGUAAAUUGGAUGCUAAGAGUAAAAGUUGUGUGUUUUUGGGAUAUAGUCUUCAACAUAAAGGCUAUAGGUGUCUUGAUCCCAUUACAAAUCGAAUCUACAUAUCAAAACAUGUUGUCUUUGAUGAAAACUCUUAUCCAUUUAAGUCACUGCAGCUUCCAAGUUCAACUUCAGAGAGUUCAUCUUCCACCUCUUCACCAUUUUUGGAUCUUCAUUUCCACAAACACUUCUCAAGUUCUCCUACUGCUAGUACUUCUUCAGCACCACCGUGUUCCUCUGCUCCUAAUCCUAUUACUCCAAUCUCCAUUUCAACUCAGCAUUCUUUUAAGUCAUCAGAUCGUGGAUAAUUCUCCAAGUUCUUCCAGUUCUGUCUCUAUCUCAGAAUCCUCUCUCUUGCCUCUUCAGCCAAGUCAUCUACCUAUUUCUGAGAAUACAUAUCCUAUGAUUACAAGAUCUAAAGCUGGAAUCUUCAAGUCUAGAGCUUAUGCAGCCACCAAACAUCCACUUCCAGUUGAUCUUGACUUUGUUCCCAAUACGUAUUUGCAAGCAUCAAAACAUGCUCAUUGGAGAGCUGCAAUGCAAGCUGGGACCUAGUUUGGGAGUGAGGUGCUUAAAAAAAAAGCACCCAUGAAAAAAAGCUGUGAGGGUUUUAGGUGUUUGGUAAACUGAAAAAAAAAGGCUUAUUUUGGAAGCUGCUGUGAGAAUAAGUUGAAAUCAAAGGAAAAAGCUGAAGCUGCUAUUUGCAGCUUUGGAAAACUGGCUUUUUUUCAAAGCACACGAAGCUACAAUGCUUCUUUAAUGAAAAGACCCACUAUUAGACUGCUUUUUUUUCCAAAAGCACUUUUACAAAAAAGUUUACCAAACACUCUGCUGAUUUAUUUCACAGCCGCUUAUUCUCAGCAACUUUUUUUCAAAGCAUAGCAAUACCAAACCAGCCCUGAGUAUAAUGCUUUAAUGACCACUGGCACUUGGUCUCUUGUUCCAUCUCAUCCUUCUCAGAAUGUUGUUGGUUGUAAAUGGGUUUUCCGGAUCAAGAAAAAUCCUGAUGGCACCAUUGACAAACACAAAGCCCGUCUCGUGGCCAAGGGCUUUCAUCAACAAGGAGUGGAUUUUCAAGAAACGUUUAGUCAUGUUGCUAAACCGGUUACCAUUCGGAUUCUUCUUACACUUGCUGUCCAACAUAAUUGGUUUUUGAACCAAUUAGACAUUAGCAAUGCCUUUCUUCAUGGCGAUCUAAAAGAGGAUGUUUAUAUGCAACAACCUCCUGGUUUUGUUGAUCCUAACUCUCCCAGUUUUGUUUGCAAGCUGCAAAAAUCCUUAUAUGGUCUUAAACAAGCUCCUCGAGCUUGGUUUGAUAAAUUGUUCCAAGCUCUUCGUGCCCUUGGUUUUCACCAAUCACAAUUGGAUGCUUCCUUAUUUGUUCUCAAUGGUCCUCAAUUGGUUAUUGUUCUUGUCUAUGUAGAUGACAUUUUAGUCACUGGGCCUAACUCUCAACUCUGUCAACAGUUUAUCCAGCAACUUAGCACUCAGUUUCCAGUAAAAGAUCUUGGUCCUUUACUAUUUCUUGGGGUUGGAAGUACACCGAUCUAACAAAGGUAUCUUCCUGCAUCAGACCAAGUACCUCCUUGAUCUUCUUAAGAAAACAAACAUGGAGGGUGCAAAACCUUGUUGCACUCCUCUUGGUUCUAAGAAACUGGAUCACAGUGGGCCUCUCUUAUCCAAUCCUACUGAAUAUCGUUCUAUAGUUGAUGGGUUACAAUAUCUUACUUGGACUCGACCAAAUCUUGCAUUUGCCGUCAAUCAAAUUUGUCAAUUUAUGCAUGCUCCACGAGAACAACAUCUUCAAGCAGCAAAACGAGUCCUCAGAUUUCUUAAAGGUUCUAUUUCUCAUGGUUUAUGGUUCACUAAAGGUCCUAUCACUCUUUCAGCAUACUUUGAUGCUGAUUGGGCAGGUUGUCCAUUUGAUAGGCAGUCUACUAGUGGAUAUUGUGUAUUUCUUGGCCCUAAUCUCAUUAGUUGGAGUGCCAAGAAACAAAGCACUGUUGCUCGUUCCUCUACCAAAGCUGAAUAUCGGUCUUUAGCCCAUACUGCUGCAGAAAUUACUUGGGUGUGCAAAAUCCUUAAAGAUCUUCAUUUUCCUCUACCUCAAUUGCCUACACUUUGGUGUGAUAAUCUCUCAGCUAUCUCUUUAGCUUCUAAUCCUAUUUUUCAUGCUCGAACCAAGCAUGUUGAGCUUGAUUAGCACUACAUCUGGGAGCUAGUACUAGCAAAUCUCAUCAAAGUUCACUAUGUUUGCAGUGAAGACCAAUUGGCUGAUCUUCACACCAAUUCUUUGUCUAAAAGCCGGUUUUCUUCUCUGUGUUCCAAGCUUCCAAUUGGAAUCCUCUCUGAUUCCUCCUUGAGCUUGAGGGGGUGUAUUAGGGAGAAUGAUAAAUCAUCCAAUAUAGUUAGUGAAAAAUAGUUUGUUAAAGCUAAGUGUAGUUAGUUUUAUUAGUACCUGUAAUUAGUUAAGGUAGGUGAGGGUAUUAUUGUAACCAGCCUAAGGUAGCUAAGGCUAUAUAUAUUCACAUCUGUGUAACUGAAUUAUUCAUUCAAUACAAUUGUAAAUCUUACAGAGGAAGUUUUCUCUUUCUAUAAUCUGAUCAUUGUAUGCUCUGACUGGGUAAUCUUGUUGAAACUGUUUGCUGAGCACCUUUUUUAACCAGACAAUUAUAAGUGUCAAAACUUCUGGUAGUAUUUUCAGCAUACUGGGGUCCAAAUCAGAUAACGCACCAUUCCAUAAAAUAUAAAUAACAUGUUGUUUUCUUUGCUUCACGAUUAAAGAUGUUAGUGAGAUGCUUUCAUGAAUUUUUAGGGACACAAACCCCAACAAAUUAAGCUAAACCACCAAUUGGUCAUUGCCGCUGCAUGACCCUUAAAAUUUCACACAUUCUGGGCUGGUUCAUCUGGUCUAAUGUGGCAGACAUUUUGGAUAGCAGAUUACACAUAUAUAAAGAACCAAUUUGAAUGGAACCAU